RNAcentral lists this ribosomal RNA (446 nucleotides) under uncultured bacterium. RNAcentral describes it as "SSU rRNA". It matches the Rfam family "Bacterial small subunit ribosomal RNA", at positions 26 to 518 of the family's 1533-position model. The record is from RNAcentral.
AGAACGAACGCUGGCGGCAUGCCUAACACAUGCAAGUCGAACGAACCCUUCGGGGUUAGUGGCGCACGGGUGCGUAACGCGUGGGAAUCUGCCCUUAGGUACGGAAUAACUCAGGGAAACUUGUGCUAAUACCGUAUGAUGUCGAGAGACCAAAGAUUCAUCGCCUAAGGAUGAGCCCGCGUUGGAUUAGCUAGUUGGUGGGGUAAAAGCCUACCAAGGCUACGAUCCAUAGCUGGUCUGAGAGGAUGAUCAGCCACACUGGGACUGAGACACGGCCCAGACUCCUACGGGAGGCAGCAGUGGGGAAUAUUGGACAAUGGGCGAAAGCCUGAUCCAGCAAUGCCGCGUGAGUGAAGAAGGCCUUCGGGUUGUAAAGCUCUUUUACCCGGGAUGAUAAUGACAGUACCGGGAGAAUAAGCUCCGGCUAACUCCGUGCCAGCAGCCGC